CACCCCGGCCUCAGGAGUGACUCUCCCUGGGUGACUUGGGUAGGCAGGCCGAACCUGGAUGGGGGUCUGGGGACAGGGCAGGGAGCCUUCGUUCACGUCUGCAGGCCUUUAUCAGGCAGGGCCGGCGAAUGCUAACACUCCAGCCGGCUCUGCCGAGUUCUAAUCCUGCUCCAAACGGGACGUUCACUUUGGAAGAAGAGACAGACAGACAGACAGACAGGCAGAGACGGGGCAGCGAGGAACACGCCAGCCCAGGAAACCCAGCUGGGAGGCCCACAGCUCUGUCCGGAGAGAAGGCCACUUGCGGCCCCGGCCGCUCGGGGAGAAGCCUGCCCAGCCCUUUGGCACCGGAGUCAACAGGCUGCAGGACCUGCAGCCAAUGUCCAGCUGGUUCGGAAAACGCACUCUGGGGCCAGCGCUGCCCCACACCUGCUUGGUUGCCUGCCCUCCCGACAACUUCCUGCCCCGCAUCGCAGUCUGGACGACGUCCUUCAUGGUGACCUUCCCGUUCACCGAUCCUCUCUUCAGCCACAUGGUCUCAAGUCCAUCCCACCUGCUGAGCUGGUCAGCACCUGAGAGACUGGAGACGUUUCCUAAAAGUCACCAGUUCCCCGUCCCCAACACCAUCUGAACGUGAGCUCCUCUCGGACGCCGCUCUGGUCGCAGGGAACUUCAGUUCACGUGUGUUGAAUAAAUGAAUAGAAGAAACUCAAAAU
Molecule: long non-coding RNA, 716 nt
Organism: Artibeus jamaicensis (Jamaican fruit-eating bat)
Lineage: Eukaryota; Metazoa; Chordata; Mammalia; Chiroptera; Phyllostomidae
Exons: 3
Source: RefSeq, a predicted model, not a curated record